UUAGAUUGGAAUUUUAGAUAAUGAAAAAAUUUUUAGUAUAAAUAUAUCCCAUGUAAUGUUUGGGUCAUACUUAUACUAAAACAGUAUUAUUUCUAAACUUUAAACCCAUCACUAUAUUUCAAUUUCCUCU
Molecule: microRNA precursor, 130 nt
Filed under: Dasypus novemcinctus (nine-banded armadillo)
Lineage: Eukaryota; Metazoa; Chordata; Mammalia; Cingulata; Dasypodidae
Description: miRNA (ENSDNOG00000047094.1)
Rfam family: mir-1302 microRNA precursor family (bases 30-81)
Source: RNAcentral